CAGUCGAACGAACUCUGGUAUUGAUUGGUGCUUGCAUCAUGAUUUACAUUUGAGUGAGUGGCGAACUGGUGAGUAACACGUGGGAAACCUGCCCAGAAGCGGGGGAUAACACCUGGAAACAGAUGCUAAUACCGCAUAACAACUUGGACCGCAUGGUCCGAGCUUGAAAGAUGGCUUCGGCUAUCACUUUUGGAUGGUCCCGCGGCGUAUUAGCUAGAUGGUGGGGUAACGGCUCACCAUGGCAAUGAUACGUAGCCGACCUGAGAGGGUAAUCGGCCACAUUGGGACUGAGACACGGCCCAAACUCCUACGGGAGGCAGCAGUAGGGAAUCUUCCACAAUGGACGAAAGUCUGAUGGAGCAACGCCGCGUGAGUGAAGAAGGGUUUCGGCUCGUAAAACUCUGUUGUUAAAGAAGAACAUAUCUGAGAGUAACUGUUCAGGUAUUGACGGUAUUUAACCAGAAAGCCACGGCUAACUACGUGCCAGCAGCCGCGGUAAUACGUAGGUGGCAAGCGUUGUCCGGAUUUAUUGGGCGUAAAGCGAGCGCAGGCGGUUUUUUAAGUCUGAUGUGAAAGCCUUCGGCUCAACCGAAGAAGUGCAUCGGAAACUGGGAAACUUGAGUGCAGAAGAGGACAGUGGAACUCCAUGUGUAGCGGUGAAAUGCGUAGAUAUAUGGAAGAACACCAGUGGCGAAGGCGGCUGUCUGGUCUGUAACUGACGCUGAGGCUCGAAAGUAUGGGUAGCAAACAGGAUUAGAUACCCUGGUAGUCCAUACCGUAAACGAUGAAUGCUAAGUGUUGGAGGGUUUCCGCCCUUCAGUGCUGCAGCUAACGCAUUAAGCAUUCCGCCUGGGGAGUACGGCCGCAAGGCUGAAACUCAAAGGAAUUGACGGGGGCCCGCACAAGCGGUGGAGCAUGUGGUUUAAUUCGAAGCUACGCGAAGAACCUUACCAGGUCUUGACAUACUAUGCAAAUCUAAGAGAUUAGACGUUCCCUUCGGGGACAUGGAUACAGGUGGUGCAUGGUUGUCGUCAGCUCGUGUCGUGAGAUGUUGGGUUAAGUCCCGCAACGAGCGCAACCCUUAUUAUCAGUUGCCAGCAUUAAGUUGGGCACUCUGGUGAGACUGCCGGUGACAAACCGGAGGAAGGUGGGGAUGACGUCAAAUCAUCAUGCCCCUUAUGACCUGGGCUACACACGUGCUACAAUGGAUGGUACAACGAGUUGCGAACUCGCGAGAGUAAGCUAAUCUCUUAAAGCCAUUCUCAGUUCGGAUUGUAGGCUGCAACUCGCCUA
Molecule: ribosomal RNA, 1293 nt
Filed under: Lactiplantibacillus plantarum
Lineage: Bacteria; Bacillati; Bacillota; Bacilli; Lactobacillales; Lactobacillaceae
Description: bacterial SSU rRNA
Rfam family: Bacterial small subunit ribosomal RNA
Source: RNAcentral